This 74-nucleotide transfer RNA is filed under the name Xiphophorus maculatus (southern platyfish). It matches the Rfam family "tRNA". From Rfam's summary of the family: Transfer RNA (tRNA) molecules are approximately 80 nucleotides in length. Their secondary structure includes four short double-helical elements and three loops (D, anti-codon, and T loops). Lineage: Eukaryota; Metazoa; Chordata; Actinopteri; Cyprinodontiformes; Poeciliidae. The record is from Rfam by way of RNAcentral.
GGUGUUGUGGCUCAGCUUAUCAAAGCGCUUGUCUCUUAAAUAGAAGAUCCAGGGUUCAAAUCCCAGCAGUACCA